GGGGGAGAGGGCCCGGCGCUGGCCUGUGGUUCCCCCGCUCCGCGGUUCCGCCCCCGUCGGCCGGGCCCGCAGUCCAGAGUAGCCGGUUCUGCCGUCCUGGGGCGGGGGACGUUUUUUGGACAGUGGGGUAAACUGAGGCCCGAUAGGGGCGCUAGGCACUGCCCGGAGUCCGGCGCGCACGGAUUGAGGCGACCUGAUUCCGCCGCAUCCUGGCCCGCGCGGCGAGGGUGGUCUCUGGGCUCGGGACCCUGACCUCUGGCCCUGGGGGCCGUGCACCGGCAGCGCAGGAUUCAGCCUUUUUCCAACUGGCCCUGAGACCACUUUUGCGACUGACCCCCGGAGCCUCUACCACCUGGGCUCAAGCAAUCCUCCCACCUCGGCCUCCCAAGUAGCUGGAACUACAGGUAGCCCCAAAUCCAAGCAUCCUUAUAAGAGAGAGACAGAGGGAGAUUUAAGAGACAGAAGAGGAGGAGGUGAUCUGAUUACAGAGGCGGAGACGGGUAAUGCCCAUGCGCCCGAGUUCCCCCGGCAGCCACUGGAAGCUGGAGAGGUGAGGAGUCGCCCCAGGAGGCCCCGAGGGAGCUGGAUUUUGGACUGCGGCCUCCAGAACUCCAGAGAGAAUGAAUGUCUGCUGUUCUCAGCACCCCUCCGUGGUCCUCUGUCACGGCAGCCGCGGGACCCUCACGCACUGUCUGGGCCGUCCCUUCCAGCGUGUCGGGCGUUGUGUCCAGCACUGGGGACCGCCCGCAGGCGUGACUUGAGCCCUGUUUCCAGCCUCUGCGCGGGGUUGCCCAGACGCCCCUCCAGGGCGCGACACCACUGCCCCCUGGUGGCCGCGGCUGCCCAGACACCCUCUCCUCGCAGACCCAGCACGGCCAGCACUUGGGA
Molecule: long non-coding RNA, 888 nt
Organism: Pan troglodytes (chimpanzee)
Lineage: Eukaryota; Metazoa; Chordata; Mammalia; Primates; Hominidae
Exons: 3
Source: RefSeq, a predicted model, not a curated record